RNAcentral lists this ribosomal RNA (491 nucleotides) under uncultured bacterium. Its description in RNAcentral is "partial 16S ribosomal RNA". It matches the Rfam family "Bacterial small subunit ribosomal RNA", at positions 29 to 507 of the family's 1533-position model. The record is from RNAcentral.
GUGAACGCUGGCGGUAGGCCUAACACCUGCAAGUCGAACGGCAGCACAGUAAGAGCUUGCUCUUACGGGUGGCGAGUGGCGGACGGGUGAGGAAUACAUCGGAAUCUACUUUUUCGUGGGGGAUAACGUAGGGAAACUUACGCUAAUACCGCAUACGACCUACGGGUGAAAGCAGGGGAUCUUCGUACCUUGCGCGAUUGAAUGAGCCGAUGUCGGAUUAGCUAGUUGGCGGGGUAAAGGCCCACCAAGGCGACGAUCCGUAGCUGGUCUGAGAGGAUGAUCAGCCACACUGGAACUGAGACACGGUCCAGACUCCUACGGGAGGCAGCAGUGGGGAAUAUUGGACAAUGGGCGCAAGCCUGAUCCAGCCAUACCGCGUGGGUGAAGAAGGCCUUCGGGUUGUAAAGCCCUUUUGUUGGGAAAGAAAAGCAGCAGGUUAAUACCCCGCUGUUCUGACGGUACCCAAAGAAUAAGCACCGGCUAACUUCGUG